RNAcentral lists this ribosomal RNA (428 nucleotides) under uncultured bacterium. Its description in RNAcentral is "bacterial SSU rRNA". It matches the Rfam family "Bacterial small subunit ribosomal RNA", at positions 355 to 776 of the family's 1533-position model. The record is from RNAcentral.
UGGGGAAUAUUGGACAAUGGGGGCAACCCUGAUCCAGCCAUGCCGCGUGAGUGAUGAAGGCCUUCGGGUCGUAAAGCUCUGUGGGGAGGGAAGAAUGGCCGACGGUUAAUACCCGCCGGUUUGACGGUACCUCCUUAGCAAGCACCGGCUAACUCCGUGCCAGCAGCCGCGGUAAUACGGAGGGUGCAAACGUUGCUCGGAAUCAUUGGGCGUAAAGCGCACGUAGGCGGACUGUUAAGUCGGAUGUGAAAGCCCUCGGCUUAACCGAGGAAGUGCAUUCGAAACUGGCAGUCUUGAGUACAGAAGAGGGUCGCGGAAUUCCCGGUGUAGAGGUGAAAUUCGUAGAUAUCGGGAGGAACACCAGUGGCGAAGGCGGCGACCUGGGCUGAUACUGACGCUGAGGUGCGAAAGCGUGGGGAGCAAACAGG